CCACUUCGAAGUUGCUGUUUGCCUCUUUUUUAGAACAAAUGCUCGUGCAAAACAUUUCAAAUGAAAAUUACUUGAUUUCCAAGAGAAUGAACGUACAGGUGACAUGCAUUUUCAUAUGACUAGUUUUGCAGAAAGACUCAUUUUGCCACAGAGGCAAAAGUCAACUAUUCAUCCAGGAGCUGGCUCAGGGAGCCUUUGAUUUUCUGAAAAAUGCUAAAGUCAGCAGUUUUCUUCAAGAUUCAAGGCUAAUUUUAUCUUGGAAAAAUUAAUGGCUACCCCCAGGUUUCUUUGUGGAUUCUAAUAACCCUAGCUAAGAUCUACUUUUUCUACGUUUUCCACGUUUUCCUAAUCUGGUGGAAACACAUUUAUAUUAAGUAGAAACUGUUUUUUAAUGAGCCUGAGACACACCUCAGUCACUAACGUUCAGUUCUGUGAUGGAGCACAGCUGCAUGUUUGCACAAGACUAGUCUUCAACUCUGUGUAGGGGGCUUUAUGCGAUCUUUGUAUGUUGCAAACAUCUAGAUCAAAAUACUUGCAUGUCAAGAGAAACCUGUUGACACUUGCUUUUUACUGAAAACCGUUAUAGAUGCAUUUAAAGGCACACAAGUUGAAUGAGUCAUAAGCAAUUGGAUGAGUUAAUUUACACUUGCCAAGAAUAUCUGCAGCUUGAUUCUCAGCAGGCUGUUGUGUCUUCUUCGAGGACCUCCCCCUGUCUGUUUCUGAGCUUUGCAGCCAUUUUUGUGAAGAAGGAUUGAACAUGGCAAGAAUUCAGGAACUCCUCUAAGGUGAACCGCCUAAUUCUGUCCUCAUUUUUAGUGAUACAGUAACUGCUUCAACUUUAUGGCCAUCUCCUGACCUAAGAAAAACUCUUCUUCAAGGUAGUUUCUUUUGUUUUUCAUUGAAAUGAGUGGCCCUUUUCGUCACUUUAGGGCCCAGCCUUUAGGUUUUAUUUCAUUAGCAGGGGCUGGAAGUGUAGAACUUGCUAGGGCCAGGUGAAUACCAUGAUUGUCGCUAUAGCGUAUUUUGGCCUUGUCAAAUAGGUUUUCUCUUUCAGGAACAAAUCAACAUGAAGUGUACUGUAGAUGCUUCUUCAGUAAUUAUCUCAGCAUUACCCUGUCUGAUGCAAAAGUGGAACGGCUAAGAAAAUAUAAGGAGUUUGAAUAAAACGCUGCUUACCAUUACUUCUUGCACACUGCUUUUCAGUCUGCUGCCUUUUGCAGCUUUUGAUGGCAUUUCGGGCAGCAAAAGACAAGUAUAAUGCUGAACAAAAAAACAAGUUAGAGGCUUUUUAUUGGAAUUCUAUCCCCAUUUUAUUUGUAGUAAAUUAAAACUCUGCGGAAAAACUAAUGGCUGUCAAUGAGCUUAGAAUAGUUGAUUGAUCUCUUUUCAAAGGCACAAAGGGUGUCGUGUAAGAAAUUAGUUUUAAACGGUACAGAAUUCGGAAGACUUUUAAUUCUCUGUUUAUUUCUCCAGCCCCAUCUUUGUCUAUUUAUUCUGGGUACGAGGGUAUCGAGUGUGGGCUUAGAAAUAACUAACAAGGGGGUGCAUUACCUAACCUCAAACCCCUAAAAUCGUGCACCAAACUCUCAUAUUCCACUGUGAUAUAAGUACUAAAAGUCCAGAAUAAAAGCUUAUAGCAGUUGGCAUACUUUUAUUUUAUCCUAAAUAGUAGACCAUUGGUGAGGUCCUUAGGGGGAAGGAGGGGAAGGGCUGUGUAUCCCUUAUCCUAUUAAUUUUUGGCGUAAAUAUCUUGUAUCCUGUUAAUUGCAGCUUAAGAUUUCCUACUCAAUUAAUGUCUCGUUUUAUCUGAUCUAAACCUGCUCUAAGGUGGUGAGGUGACUUCCAAUUUGAGCAACAACAGUUGGUUGGGCAUCAAGGGCUCAUUCUUGUUUGGAUCACUGGACACGGUAGUGAUGGGUCAGCAAUUCAUGAUACUCUCAACUGCGCACAUUAAUGUGGCCAGACUUUUGUCAUCAGUAAUUUGCUCUCACAGCAGGGCUUGUAGAAUCUUCCUAAUGGUUCAGAAGCAUCUCUCCCAAAUGCCUCGAAAGUGAGAACCAUUUGAAGGGCUGAAGAACCAGUUGAUGUUAUUUUGUAACAGGGAAUCAUGUAUCCAUUCCUGAUUCCAAUCUGAAAUAGAAUCACACAACUCCUUCUCACCACUGGUUAAGUUUGACCUGUUAUCUGUGUAGAUUUCCUUCACUUGGCCUCAUCUUGCAAUGAAACAUCGCAAAGCCAAUAAGAAUGAGUGUGUGCUUAGGCUGUGUGCAAUUUCGAGGUGCAUAGCACGGAUUGCCAGACGUGAAGAUCACAGCAUAUCUCUUUAAGAGGCUCCACCCACAACGGACUUGGAAUGGGCCAAAGUAAUCCAUGCCUACUGAUGUAAAAGUUGGCUUCUCAGCGAGCACACAACUUUCUGGUAAAUCAGCCAUCUUCUGUUGGCAAAGUAGUGCCUGGCAACAACGGCAACUGACACACUUUUCUAGAACACUUCUUGCAGUUGAACUUCCUUGGUUGAUCCAGAAUUUCUGCCUAACUGAGGCUAGGACAUGCUCUCUACUGGAAUGGCCACAUGCCCUGUGGUAAUUGCCGAUGAUCACUCAGGUAAUGUGAUCUUCUUUUGGAAGAAUAAUCAGGUGCUUUGAUUCCAUGAGUAAUGAUGCUUUGCGCAGCCGACCACCAACAUGUGAAAGCCCAUCAGACGAUUGGAUCGAGCUUGUACAGGCAACUACUCUUCUUAACUGGUGUUUUGGGAUGGUUGAGCUCCUCAGGGAAGGCUCUUCUCUGUACGUGCUUCAGAAUUUCUCUCUCUGCUCUCUUGAUCACUUCAAGGGUGAUGUAUUUUGGAACAUCGCGGCUUAACUCGUUCUUCUUGCCUGCCUUCAGAAGUCUUUCUCCGUAGCACAGGAGCCAGGCAACAACUUUCUUUAGAUAGAUCCAGGAAGAGCAUUUCUUGAAAUAUUGCAGCAGUGGACAGCUUUGCUUGCCUAGUGACAACAUGCACACUUUAACCUCCAUCUUCACCUCAGGAUCUCCCUCGGGGACAUCGUUAAUUGCUUCUGUCUGCAUUGGCCAUGUGUUCGGGCCUCCAAAGGUUCUCCAGCCCCAUUAACCAACACCCUUGACUAAGGAAGACAUCUGCUGUCAAUCCUCGAGAGGCGUCAUCAGUGGGAUUCAUGUCACUAGUUACAUGGUUCCAUAGAUGGGGUUCAGAGCCAUUACGAAUAAGUGUGACACGAUUAGCUACAAAGGUGUGAUGUAGCGGCGUCAACUCUGAUAGCGGAGAGAUCCGUGAAACUAAAAGACUAAAGACUUGCAGCUUCCACAAGGCUCAGGUUUAUUGUGCCAACUGUUACAGCGAUUCUGUAUGGUGGGACGUGUUAGGGCGACCGCUCUAGUAGGUUCUGAGUUGUACAACAAUAACUGGUGGUUCCCGUCGAAUUUCUGUGAGCCUUAUCGUUUUUUUACAUGAGCUCAUGAUAUUAAGCUAAAGUCACAUGGUAGCUAGCGGAAAAUCAUUGUGAUGUAAAUGCGGUAAAAAGGGAAAUGCAUAAAAUUCUAUGAAAUAAAAACGAGGCAUGCGGGUGCCAUUACAUGUGGUAUUGCCUCGUUUUGUUCGUCAUGUAACAUAAUACUGCAGUGCUAUUCAGGCGGUGUGCGUCAUGACCCUAAAGGUUCAUGAGUAAAAAUGUGACCGUAGCUCAUUUCGAUCCAGACACGGUCGAGUACGCAUCUCCCAGGAGUCAUUACAGUGAGAGUAAACAUUGGAAUCAAAACGCUGCUUCCUUUUCUGAAAAGUGUUACAGAUGAGAGUAGUUUAGAUCAUUUCAAAGAUCUCACAGUGGCUGUAGAGAUGCAUCUUGUUGGCUUCACAAGGCAAUUUCAUUAAGUUUAUUGCGAUUUAGCAAUGAUCAAAGGUGUGAUUUUACAGGAUUUUAGCCAUGUAAAUCUCCGGCUUCUCAGAGGGUUUUCUGUAGUUAUUUGUUAAGCUUGAGCUUAUGGUUAAGAUUAUAAGUUCUAUAUAAUACAUUUUCUCCCAGAGUGAAAGAGAUCUGUAGUUCUUACUGGAUUUACCUAAGUACAAAUCAAUUCGACCAUUAGUAGUGUUUGAUGGACUUUCACUGAUGGACUUUGACUGCCAGGCAAGGAAAGGGAACACAAACAUUGGACAAGGUGAGAAAUCUUCAUCAUCUCUCGUGUCAGUUUUAUUUUUCUUCGACUAGUUUAUUUCACAGCCAUUGACUGCAAACAAAUCUUUCAUCAGGAAACAAGAGAAACAGAUCAAAAGAGCUGAACAGUGACGGCGCAUUGAGGAUUUAACCGGAGCAAGAAAGCCACUGGCUGGGGUGGCAGAAAUAAACCAUGAUCAUGUCUGCAGACUUGCCGACAGAGGUCUAUCGAUUACGUGGUUGCUCCAUAUGAGGCAGAUGCCCAAAUAGCAUACCUCACAAAGAAUGGUUAUACCGAUAUUGUGAUUUCCAAAGAUUCUGAUCUUCUAGCAUACAGAUGCCAAAACAGUAUGUAGAAUAAGUCACGUUGUUUUUCCAACUGCCAGAGUAUCAUGCCCUCUAUACAUGACAUCAGUACACCCCAAGGGUCAAAAGGCAUCACCCCCUUUUUUGUUUAUUACACUAGGUCCAACUGAAUUAUACAUAUAUUUUUUUAAUCAUUCUAUAUUAAAGACUGAAAUGCAUACAUUUAGUCAUUUCCACGUGAAGUAGCUCUAAGCAGCAUUUUAAAAAAACCUCAGAAGUUGUUUAUGUGCACCAAUAAAGCUUAGAAUUAAAUAAUUUCAAAAUUAUAUUUUAUUCAACUUGUCAUUUGCCUGCCCUUCUUUUCUCAUUUGUUCACAGGUUUUAUUCAAGCUGCAGCUCAGUGGUGCAUGUCAAGUAAUCAAGCUUGAAAAGGCAUUGGCCCACUUGUCAAUGAGACAGGAAAGUUUUCUUAACAUGUGUAUUGCUGCAGGUUGUGACUACCUUUCAAAUGUACAUGGAAUCAGGAUUCACUUAGGAAAAAAGCUUGUGACAGAAGGAAAUAAUUUCUUGGCUGUUCUGCAGAGCAACAAAUAUGCCCCAGGUGAAUACACCAGUGGAUUUCAAACAGCCAAGGCCAUCUUUCUGCACCAGACAAUGAUAAAUCCUGCUCAUGCAACAACAAUCCCAUUAUCACCAUGGGAAGAAACUCCUGAUUCACAAUCCCAAACAUCCUGUGGGAUAUAUCCACAUAGUUAUUAUACCUAGUAUAUGUCUGUGAGAAGAAUACUUCCAAAAACUCCAGUUUUCGCAUGAAAGCAGGUGAAGCCUUAUUAGUGCACCCUAAUACCCUCUUGCUGGUUAAUACCCUCUAACUGGUCUUCCCUCUUGCUGCUUGUUUUUUCUCAUAACCGAAAACAAACCCUGCUUAUUACCAUAUUAAGUCAGCUUCUGCAUAUUAGGGAAUUUGGGAACUCAAAAUGGACCCAACAUAUUGUCGUGUGAGAGAAUUUCAUGUUUAUUUAUGUCUACAAGUCUCCUGCCCUCCCCCUCCAAAGAAACUCAACAUAUAACAUUACAUUAAACUCUUGUCUUUUUUUUUUACUAGUAAUUGUUCAAGUCAGCAUGACUUUAUAUAUUAGUACUAUUAGUUUCCUUAAUAUCAAACAUGAUUAGCCUGCUGGCAAAAGAAUAUGCUGUUAACCUGGCUGUGGGUAAUGUUGACCCCAAGAUGAAGACAUCCAUUGCAAAUAAUUUUCCACUUCCUGCUUAGGCGAUUUUGUGGCAGCCUAGAGACCUGUGCUUGUCAGUUGAAACUAUAGACAAUCUAAACAUUAACUGGACUAUUCCUUCACUUCCUGUAUUGACAAUCGAAUUUGAGAAGUUGCAUGUCAAUAACACAAGGACAAUGAAACCAGCCCUGAUCAAGGCAGAAGAUACUGACUGAGUAAAAGCAGGCGAUGUAAAAAUUUGCACCAAAUGGUGUGAUUUGGUAACGGAAAGUGUCCCUUAUUUGGUUCUCUUGGAAUUUAGACAGUCUGAACCACCAGAACUCAGUAAUGGUUUAAUAAUUGAUGUUGCGGAUGACAAUUCAAGUGACAAGGACAGCAAUGAUUAUUCAGUGUAUACUGUUCCUUUUAAAGUGCUCAGAGUAGCGUAUAAAGGUAGACAAACCUACCUGAAAAAAGCAUAUGUGAGUUUGGAACAAAAGCAAGAGGUAAUAGCAAAACUUCAACGAUUACGACCAGAAUGCAAUAACUGUCCUCAUAAACUUUGCAGUGGCUGGAACAAAGUGGGUUACAUUACCAAGGAGUUAACAAGUGAGCUACAGCCCCUCAUUGACAAUGGCAAUAUCAAAGUUAAUGUUACACAUAUUUGCUUCAGAGUUAACUAUUUGCAAGUUGGCUUUUACUUCACAUUAAAUAUUUCUAGAACAGGACAGUGGAGCAAAAAGGUUUUCAAGGCUGCUAAGAAGGCCAAAUAAAUUUAAAACACCUCAUGUUCAGACUAUAUUUAUUUCUGUGUGAUAUUUUCUUUACCAUUUUGGUAGAGUACAUUAAUGCCUCUGCAACAAAGUUCCAAAAAAUCUAUAGGAAUAAAUGGCUCAAAAUUGUGGCUAAACUCCAGAUACAUGUACUGGCAAAACAAAUUCUGCAUUAAGUCUCAUCUCAUGCAUGAGCGCAUUGAUGGCAAUAAUUUGAUAACUUUGGCAAUUGAAACUCCAAAACAUUCCUGAUUGCCAAUACAGGUGACAAGAGGGUUCUGUUUCCCUGCAAGGACUCUGGAGUAUGAGUAACAUCUCCAGGAUUUGUGGACCCUUCAGAUGGGCACCCUUGAAGUCCUCUGCUGAAAUAGUUAAUGCAGAGGUCCUCUUCUGCUUCUUCCAAUGUUUUAUACUUUUGGCAAAGGUACGAGUUGACCUGUUGUCUACAUGCAUCCCUGUUAAAAAAAAUAAUAAUACACAUCUGGCUCAGUUGCGGUGCAAAUGAACAUAAGGGUAAAUCAAAUAUCAUGUGUUCUAUUAUUCUUAUCACAAGUCAAUAAAUUGGUUCAGGUAUGUACAGAUUCUUCAAAAUAUUAGUACCAUAUCACUAACAUAGAGAGCAGUACUUUUUGUUUCAUCACUGUCACAUUUUAGGAAAUUUAAUAUCCAAGAUAGUUAUAUUUGAAAGAUGAUGUAAUGGAAACUUGCUGUCAUACUUGUAAUAUCCAGGAUUGACGCCCCAUCCAAAAGUUAUCUGCUUAAAUUAAUCUGCUUGUACCAAGGUUUUAGCUGGAAGGGUGUCCAUGCUGAACUCCUGGAGAUUUGCUGGAACCUUGCGGGUGUAACCCUUGUCAAUAAUGUCUGCCAUGAAACACUUGUAGUCGCUGUACAAGUCCUUGUAAUGUUGUACUUUCCUUUCACCAGAAAGUGCGUUUUUCUGCCGGCAGUUUGCUGUUUAGGACUGGUUCUUUGCGAUCUUUCAAAGGUAACUCCAUUUUAUAGUGACCAUCUCUCAAUACUACAGUACGCUCCAACUUGCAGAGGAAACGAAGCUCUUCUUGUGACAUUUCAGGUUUGUCAUCAGCACUGGAUUCAUUGAAGCCACUGUUGUAAAAAUCCUUCACCAUCUGAUGAAAUUCAGGAUCAGCCUUUAAAAAGAAACUUAUUGCAUGUGGGCCCUUGUGAUAACGCCCUAAAGGACCAUUAACCGUCCGUCCCUACUUGAUCGGGAAGCAUAAGGACCACCGUUUUGACUGCUUCACUUCCAAACAAUCAAAGAUAGUGGGAACAUCCCAGGCUAUGAGAAGACCUAUUUCGGCGUCAACCUCAGGUAGGCAUACUCCACACAAGUGUGGCCACUGGUCAAUGUCACCCUAUGUGGAUAUGUCCUCCUUUGAAAUGGGUAUUUUCAGUCUCAUAUAAAGUGCUGGCAAGUCGAUAAAGACAUUUUUACCCAGAUCAGAGAUGAAAAGAUCUUUCACAACGAAACUUUCAAUAAGGCUGUCUUUCUUUUCCAAAGUUGUUAGGGAAAUCUGAGUUCGUGUACCACUGACCCCUAGCUGUCUCAUCAAGGAUUCUGUGCAGAAUGUGGAGGAACUACCACUGUCCAAAAAUGCAUAGGUAAUCACAGGGGGACCUGUAGCUUUCAACCAAACUUUGACCAGAACAACAGCCAUGCCUAUUCUCGAAAGGUCAAGAUUAACCAUUCUGUUACGAAUGCAUGUGGACUCUUGUGGCGAGGUACUUGCAGAAGGAAUGUCGGAUGGUUGAAUUCUUCCCACAGUGUUCGUGUGAAGAAUUUUGGGAUGUUUCCUGGUACGGUUAGCAAUGGUACAUGUUUUCCUUUCCAGGCGUUCUUUUGCCAUGUGAUUGGAAGACAAACAACCAAAGCAGAGGUGUUUUGAUUUCAAGAAUUGAAUCCGAUCUGGAUACAGGAGGCAUCUAAUUGCA
Long non-coding RNA from Orbicella faveolata, 8406 nucleotides. The record is from RefSeq and is a predicted model, not a curated record. Lineage: Eukaryota; Metazoa; Cnidaria; Anthozoa; Scleractinia; Merulinidae.